RNAcentral lists this unclassified non-coding RNA (233 nucleotides) under plant metagenome. RNAcentral's name for it is "partial contains small subunit ribosomal RNA, internal transcribed spacer 1, and 5.8S ribosomal RNA". The record is from RNAcentral.
UUUCCGUAGGUGAACCUGCGGAAGGAUCAUUAUUGGAUUUUGAAACGUCAGGCUGCUGCUGGCUCUCCUCGGAGGGCAUGUGCACGCUUGUUGUCCAUUAUUUCUCCCACUGUGCACAAAUUGUAGACCUUUCAGUAGGCCUAUGUUGUUUUUCACAAUCUCUGAAUGUAAUAGAAUGGUUUUGAAUCUUGGGAAAUACAAUACAACUUUCAGCAACGGAUCUCUUGGCUCUC